CCCUUAGAUGUUCUGGGCCGCACGCGCGCUACACUGAUGCAUUCAACGAGUCUAAAACCUGCUCUGAUAGGGGUGGGUAAUCUUUUGAAUGUGCAUCGUGAUUGGGAUAGAUGAUUGCAAUUUUUCAUCUUCAACGAGGAAUGCCUAGUAAACGCAAGUCAUCAGCUUGCAUUGAUUACGUCCCUGCCCUUUGUACACACCGGCCGUCGCUCCUACCGAUUGAAUGAUCCGAUGAAUAUCAUGGAUUGAGGAUGCAAGUAGGUUAGCCUAUCUUCAUCUUCGAGAAGUGAAGUAAAUCUUAUCAUUUAGAGGAAGGAGAAGUCGUAACA
Molecule: ribosomal RNA, 329 nt
Filed under: uncultured eukaryote
Lineage: Eukaryota
Description: partial 18S ribosomal RNA
Rfam family: Eukaryotic small subunit ribosomal RNA
Source: RNAcentral